RNAcentral lists this small nuclear RNA (22 nucleotides) under Arabidopsis thaliana (thale cress). Its description in RNAcentral is "snRNA_01391". The record is from RNAcentral. Lineage: Eukaryota; Viridiplantae; Streptophyta; Magnoliopsida; Brassicales; Brassicaceae.
CAUGCAAAAUUCGGAUUAACCC